GAUGAACGCUGGCGGCGUGCCUAAUACAUGCAAGUCGAGCGAACAGACGAGGAGCUUGCUCCUCUGACGUUAGCGGCGGACGGGUGAGUAACACGUGGAUAACCUACCUAUAAGACUGGGAUAACUUCGGGAAACCGGAGCUAAUACCGGAUAAUAUAUUGAACCGCAUGGUUCAAUAGUGAAAGACGGUUUUGCUGUCACUUAUAGAUGGAUCCGCGCCGCAUUAGCUAGUUGGUAAGGUAACGGCUUACCAAGGCAACGAUGCGUAGCCGACCUGAGAGGGUGAUCGGCCACACUGGAACUGAGACACGGUCCAGACUCCUACGGGAGGCAGCAGUAGGGAAUCUUCCGCAAUGGGCGAAAGCCUGACGGAGCAACGCCGCGUGAGUGAUGAAGGUCUUCGGAUCGUAAAACUCCGUUAUUAGGGAAGAACAAAUGUGUAAGUAACUAUGCACGUCUUGACGGUACCUAAUCAGAAAGCCACGGCUAACUACGU
RNAcentral lists this ribosomal RNA (496 nucleotides) under uncultured bacterium. RNAcentral's name for it is "partial 16S ribosomal RNA". It matches the Rfam family "Bacterial small subunit ribosomal RNA", at positions 28 to 506 of the family's 1533-position model. The record is from RNAcentral.